GCAAGUCGAACGGAAACAUGUCUAGCUUGCUAGAUGAUGUCGAGUGGCGGACGGGUGAGUAAUACUUAGGAACAUGCCUUUGUGUGGGGGAUAACUAUUGGAAACGAUAGCUAAUACCGCAUAACGUCUACGGACCAAAGGGGGCUUUCGGGCUCUCGCGCAAAGAGUGGCCUAAGCGAGAUUAGCUUGUUGGUGAGGUAAAGGCUCACCAAGGCGACGAUCUCUAGCUGUUCUGAGAGGAAGAUC
Molecule: ribosomal RNA, 246 nt
Filed under: uncultured bacterium
Lineage: Bacteria
Description: partial 16S ribosomal RNA
Rfam family: Bacterial small subunit ribosomal RNA
Source: RNAcentral